Molecule: long non-coding RNA, 861 nt
Organism: Myotis daubentonii (Daubenton's bat)
Lineage: Eukaryota; Metazoa; Chordata; Mammalia; Chiroptera; Vespertilionidae
Source: RefSeq, a predicted model, not a curated record
CCUUCUCUGAAUAAAAAAAGAAAGGUUGCUGUGUCCAAGUGACCCUCAGCUCCCCCCUCCCCCUGUGAAACCAACCUCCCGGGAGGCAGCGGGGAGAGCAGCAGCCGAAGAACAAGGAAGACGCUGCAGACCGAGGACUGACCACUCUCACUAGUACCAGCUCCGGAAGCCCGGCCUGUGCAGCUCUCUGCCCGGGCCGUGAACUGACCAGGUGCACCAUUUCCUGAAAGGACGCCGUGUGCCCUCUAAGGCGGACAUGCUGUCUGCGAGCAAGGCCUUCCUUCCAGUCGCAUUGACGUGGUGACGAUGGGAAAGGCUGUGACUCCCACCACAGGAAAGGGAUCUCCUAAGUCUUCAAGUUUCCUAUGCACCUGGCCUCUGGACCCUAUUCUGCACCUGAGAGGGAAGUCCAUCACCCCUCACACGGAAUCCCACAGGGCUGCUGGGUUCCCUGAAGCUGUUUGGGAAACACACACACACACACACACACACACACACACACACACACACACACACAGUAAGAUGGACAGAAAGCCGCCUCAGCAACCCCCCCGCCGGCUCUCAGAGAGCGGAUGAUCUGGUCUUCAAGGAAAGAUGGGCUUUGUCACAAUCGGAGUUGCCUGCGCUGAAGGGCAGACCCGCACACUCCCGGCCGCCGCGCGGAGAGGGGCCUGCAGCUGGGGAGGGUCCUGCACUUGCCAGCCUGAACGAUGGACGGAGAACAGGCCUAACACUGAGGACACUGCAGGUCAUGCUGUUUCUAAUUGUAACAAAGAAGAGAGAUGCCUUGUUUGUAAGUCCCAGUGUCUUUCCUGCGUGAUUAAAAAUUCAUUGGCAAACGAUAAACUUCCCUCUAAAGUA